Long non-coding RNA from Triticum dicoccoides, 5224 nucleotides. RefSeq lists it as uncharacterized. The record is from RefSeq and is a predicted model, not a curated record. The transcript has 3 exons. Lineage: Eukaryota; Viridiplantae; Streptophyta; Magnoliopsida; Poales; Poaceae.
CGGCAAGCAAACAAACAAAACACUGAGUCAUGAGAACAACCAAAAUGAUGCUCGAUAGAAAUGUCAUCAUACAAAGCAGAGGAAGGUCGAAUGUUGAUGAGAUAGGUGCAAGUAGGAACAACCUCAACCCAAAAGUGAGGCGGAAGAGCCACGAUGAUCAUUAAUUCACGAGCCGCCUCAAGAAAGUGAUGAUGCUUGUGCUCAUCAACACCAUUCUAAGCAUGAGCACUAGGAGAGUAAGUGUGUCCUGCUCAGCAAGGAAUCCACGCAACAAAUGAGAGGUAUAGUCAUGAGCAAAAUCUACAUGGAAGACAUAGAUAGGAGUGGAAAACUGGGUCAAGCAUGGUGGCAUGGCAUGGAAGACAAUCAUGGGUAGUCAUGGCGGCAAACUUCUUACAGACGAAUCAUCUAUAAAGAUAUUAUAGUAAAGAAUGGCCUCUUUUCGAGGCAAAUGGAAUUGGAUCCCAAACAUCAGAGUGAACAAGAUCGAAAGGGCAUUGAGAAACCGUCUUGCUAUGAGGAUGCAAAUGCAAUUACAGAACUGUUUACCAAGCAAACAACUUGACAGUCUAAAGAUCCAACGCCGGAGACAUAUCCACGUCAAACUAAGGACGAGGGACGAGAGGCAGAAGUGACCAAGACAAUGAUGCGAUAGAGAGCUGGUAGUCGAGGUAACAGAGGCGAAGAGAUUGGCACCAAGUAGAGCACCCGUGUGACGGUCCUAAUCUACAACCAGUCAACAAUCUAACCACCUAAAAUGAGCUACAUGGUAAGUCAAAGAAGGUGAGCAAAAGAAGGAACAUGACAAGACAAGGUGAUAAGAGUGCCUCAACUAUCGAAUGGGAGGGAAGUACCAUCAACAGUAAUAACAUGAACAUGAGAAGCUAGAGGUUUGAAUGGAGGACAAACCGGAAGAAUCAUGAGUUAUAUGAAAAUACCUGUAAGAGUGCCUCAACUAUCGAAUGGGAGGGAAGUACCAUCAACAGUAAGAACAUGAACGUGAGAAGCUAGAGGUUUGAAUGGAGGACAAACCGGAAGAAUCAUGAGUUAUAUGAAAAUACCUGUAAGUGGGACACCAAGGAUGAGGGACGAGAGACAGAAGUGACCAAGACAAUGAUGCGAUAGAGAGCUAGUAGUCUGAGGUAACAAAGGCGAAGAGAUUGGCACCAUGUAGAGCACCCGUGUGAGGGUCCUAAUCUACAACCAGUCAACAAUCUAACCACCUAAAAUGAGUUACAUGGUAAGUCAAGGAAGGUGAGCAAAAGAAGGAACAUGACAAGACAAAGUGAUAGGAGUGUCUCAACUAUCGAAUGGGAGGGAAGUACCAUCAACAGUAAGAACAUGAACAGGAGAAGCUAGAGGUUUGAAUAGAGAACAAAGUGGAAGAAUCAUGAGUUAUAUGAAAACACGCUCCAAUCAAAGGAUCCAUGGAAAUAUACUCGACUAUACAAAAGCACCGGGCGAUGAAUAAGCAAUAAGUAGGUGUCGAAGUUGUCCAAGCUCCUGCGCGGUGAAGGAUAUCGCUGAAGUGGUCGACGUAGAAUCACCAAAAGAGGAGUGGCCGUCACCACCACCUAUGUGAGCCCCAAGAGGAGGCGGUGUAGCACGACAAAUACCAAUGGUAGAAGUCAAGUCGAUGGAGGAGACAGCGUCGUAGGCACACAAACACCAACCACGUGGGAGUGAUGUGCACCAACACUAUCGAUGAAAGCCAUGAGGGGAGUCUGUGUAGAGCGACCAUCACCAUCUAUAAAGGUCGCGAGAGGUGUCACUAUGGAGCCACCACCACUGCCUGUAAAAAGAAUUGGGGGGGGGGAGCAACCUCAUAGGCGGAGGAACACUGUAUGAGGUGGGGUCAGUGUAGGUAACACCCUAAGAAAUCACCGAACAACAAGGAAGAUACUAUGUCUAAUGAAGUCAUUGUACCUGUUUCUUUGUUCUACUCUUUUCUUUUACAGAACAGUCUUAGAGAGCAGUAGAACAUGGAAGAGCAGUGUAUAGGGCACGCAUAGUGCCCUAGAGAAGCCAGUUGGUGGAACGGGUUGCCGGGGCUAAGGUUCCGCGGUGAAGUCUGGCGUUGAGGUCCUGUGUGUAGCAAAAGAAGCGGAGACCGUGACCUGCAACAGCAGACGUCUCAAAUAUUGCGCCUCCUGGAGCUGCGGGGCGUUGGCCUCCUAGAGAUGGCGGUGAGGUGCUGACCUUCUGUACAUGGUGAUGAGGCGCGACCUCCUGAAACUGCAGGUGACGACGGCCUAGGGUCUACAACAUUAGUAUGGGAAGACAUGGUGGGAUGGGUGGUGGAAGACAAUACAUGGGUGAUUGGUGUUAUUGGGAAAAUUAAGGAAAGAAAUUUAACUCCUACAGUAUGAGAGGGUCACUAGGUAGCCUCGUUGCUCCCGUGGAAUUAUUCAUUGAAGUCAGCCCGCGGCCGCUAUAGCUAGAAAAAAAAUCGGGAUGAAGGAGCCCCUCCCUGGCCAUGAGCCCCACGGCUGACUCCACUCCUCUUUGCCUUGUUGCCCCCCCCCCCCCAGUCUCUCUCUUUCCUUGCAAUUUCUGGAAUUGGGAGCGGAAGAAGGGGCGAGCGUUCCGGAGGUGGCAGGCGGCAAUAGAAGUUCAUCUGACCUUCGUUCCUGCAGCAUGGUUCGAAUCAAUUAAAGACCUGAGAUUCAGUGGUAGAAGCUGCAGACAACCAUCGCCGGCGAGGCACAAGAGGUUUCCACGGUCAGAUCUACAUUGAGGCGAGGCCAUGUCAAAGAAAACACCACUAGUUAUGUGUUUGCAGCCACCUCUGCUACAUUUUGUUGUAUCAUAUUUGAAGUUCAGUUUCAUGCUGGUCGCAAUUUCUUACGGAUUGGUGUAUUUUGUUGUAGGUAGUAAGAUCAUAAGAUACUAAUGGGCUCCCUGUAAUCCCAAAGGCACUGGCUAGUGGAUAGAUAUUUUUUACAAAAUCUUCUAGAGGCGCUUAAUUUUCUAUAUCGAAAACGACUGCUGGUAAAGUGCAAAUAUGAUAUUUUUGCUUAUUGGAUACAUUAUUUUCCAAGUUCUUUCAGAGAUCUAAUAAUUAGGUUCCAAGCACUAACAACCCAACAAAGGCUGCUUUAAACUUUAAUAUAUAUUUACAGAGUUUGUCUGCUUGCUUCAAAAUUUAAAUGAGACUUUUGCUUGCUGAUAAAAUCUUUCAAUUGGUAAUAUGUUUCCCUUCAUUGCAUGCUUAUUGUUCUUUCACAAAAGAAUGUUUUACAUUUUUGAAGAUUACUAAGUUAAUAAGAUGGUGGUAACUGUUGGUAAAAUUAGGGAGUCGUUCCCUCUUUUCAUCUUCUCAGUAUUUCUGCUACUGUUGACCUUCUUUAUUCACAUGUUUAUUUAGUUUGUACCUUUGAACAUGUGCAGGUUCCAUCCAACCUGUAUGGGAAUGAUCAUUGAGUGGGCCAAAAAGUUAGACAAUUUCCUGUGCUCAGAUUGUGCUAAAGAAAACGACACAAAGAGACCUACAAAUUCAUACCAGAGUUCACCAAGUUAUCAUUCUAAGGCCAGUGAUUAAUUUCCCUUUUCUUGACUGUACAGUUUAUUAAUAUUCUGCUUGCGGAUAGCUAUAUGCCUUUAUCUUAUCUUUUUAAAUUUAGUUUCAAGAAUUUCAUUUCCAAAGCUGGUGGUUAUUGUCUUUGUUUAUUCAAUAUUCCUGGGAAAAAUGUUUGGUGUUUAACUAAACAAGUACUCAUGUGUAGUUAAAAUUUGCUGUCAUGAGUUCCUUCAGUCUAUGCUGGGUACAGCGCCUUUUAAAGAAGAUUAUUAUAUUGUUUGUGCAGAACAUUAGUUAGUCAUUGCCAAGCAAUCUUACAUAUGUUGGCAAUAUUAAAUAGGUUGUUAUGGUCAUGUUCUUUGGUUGGAAACCCAAAUUUGGACCUUACGAUAUUAUCUUGGAAUAACAGAAGCCCUGACAAGAGUAAUUUAUAGAGUGUGGGGACAAUUUGUGAUCUGCUGGAUACCAAUAAUCAGUAAUAGGAUCUUCUUUGUAGAUCAUCAUCCCUGUUAAUGCAUGAUAUUGUCAUCCAUCAGCAUGUUCUCAGUUCAUGUAUUUCACAGUGAAGAUGAGCUUAAUAUAAUAUAUAGCUUAUUCAGCACAUACUGUGUAUAGUGCAUGAGAAGAUUUUGUGGCACAAGGCAUACAUGCCAUUUGAGAUGUGAUGCUCCUGUACUUAGAAGCACGCGGCUUGUCCUGAGAUGUGAAUCUCCUGUCCUUAGAAGCAUGGGGCUUAUCCUGGUUUUCUGUAUGCUCUUUGUUCUCCACAGAUUGUACUUAAACAAACUUGAUUAAAUCGAGAAAAUAAGCUAUCUUCGGAAGUCUCCUGAUCUACAUAGGAUAUCUGGUAUAUACUUCAAUUGCCCGUGUGAUUAUAUUUAUCAAUGUUAGAAAUAUUUUUCAUCCAUCAAAGGGAGAUUUUCGGAUGCAGACUAAAUUGUUUGUCAGAGAUUAUACUUAGAUAGACUGAUUAAAUUGAGCAAAAUAAGUUACCAUUGCAAAUCUCCUGAUCCACAUGCUAUUUGCCAAUGGUCGUCGCGCUUCAGUACUAGUUAGUGCAGUAGCAAGGUAGGAGUUGCUUAUAUGUGCGAAAUAUUCAAUUCAUAAUAUCUCAUAUCAAUAGACAGAGAUGCAUCAAUUCUUUUUCAUUAUUGAUUUUCAUAUCUGUCAUGUGCAGAGUGCCCAUCGAUUAGUUAUGUAGGUCGUGAGUGCGGUUGUAAAUUAUGCACUACUCUUGGUGGUUACUAGCCUUCAUCUCUACAAAAACAUCUAGUGAGGAGUCAUCUGUCUACAAAAAACAUGCAAUGAGGUUACUUGCUUCCCGUCAGAGAUUGAGGUUCCUAUGAGGUUACCAUCGGGAGAGUCAGGUUAUCCAUCACAUGUUUGUUCCAAUGUCUCGGGGAACGAGAUGUAAGAUUAUUUUACUUAUUAAUUAUUUGUUUCCUUGGAAGUUACUCAUUUAUGUUAUUGUCAUAUUUGUUUUGUGAGCUACUUUUGUAGGGGAACGAGAUGUGGUCAAACUACUCAGAAAUGUUUUGUACCCUUUAGCGCAUUUAUUUGCUAACUCCGGGUUGUUGCACAUGAUACAGUAGUGAAUUAGAUACAUUUUUUGUGCUUUUAGAAUGAUAGAAUUGAUGAAUUUUGGGCCCACCAUUUGGUACAACAGUAUAUUUUCUUCCUUGCAAAUACUGUGUGUUGCCGCUU